GGCUGGUCUCAUGGUAGUGUGUUAUCAGAACAUAUUAACAUUAAUGUCAUUAAUGUUGGUAUACAACCCCCCACUGCCAAAUUCAACUGGCUUAAA
RNAcentral lists this Y RNA (96 nucleotides) under Microcebus murinus (gray mouse lemur). RNAcentral's name for it is "Y RNA (ENSMICG00000043983.1)". It matches the Rfam family "Y RNA". From Rfam's summary of the family: Y RNAs are components of the Ro ribonucleoprotein particle (Ro RNP), in association with Ro60 and La proteins. Lineage: Eukaryota; Metazoa; Chordata; Mammalia; Primates; Cheirogaleidae. The record is from Rfam by way of RNAcentral.